This 406-nucleotide ribosomal RNA is filed under the name uncultured bacterium. RNAcentral describes it as "partial 16S ribosomal RNA". It matches the Rfam family "Bacterial small subunit ribosomal RNA", at positions 30 to 526 of the family's 1533-position model. The record is from RNAcentral.
AUCGAACGCUGGCGGCAGGCCUAACACAUGCAAGUCGAACGAGGGGUGGACGGGUGAGUAAUGUCUGGGAAACUGCCCGAUGGAUGGGGAUAACUACUGGAAACGGUAGCUAAUACCGCAUACCAUCGAAUGUGCCCCGAUGGGAUUAGCUAGUAGGUGUGGUAACGGCUAACCUAGGCGACGAUCCCUAGCUGGUCUGAGAGGAUGACCAGCCACACUGGAAAUGAGAACCGGUCCAGACUCCGACGUGAGGCAGCAGUGGGUAAUAUUGCACAAUGGGCGCAAGCCUGAUGCAGCCAUGCCGCUUGUAUGAAGAAGGCCUUCGGUUUGUAAAGUACUUUCAGCGAGGAGGCGUUACUCGCAGAAGAAGCACCGGCUAACUCCGUGCCAGCAGCCGCGGUAAUAC